GGAGAAUCGCUUGAACCCAGGAGGCAGAGGUUGAGGUGAAGUCGUGCUGGUAAGUGCCACCUUCUCUGCUGCACUGUAGUAUCUGGGGCAGCAUCGGGCACAGCAAGGGGCCUUAAGCCUGACGGACAGGCCUAUCGGACUCAAUGAAACUGAAAGAGGAUGUGGGGAAAUCGCACCCUUGUGCACAGCUGGCGGGAUGUGACAUGGCACAGCUGCUGUGGAAAAGUCGGGCAGCUCCCCAAAAAAUUAAAAUAGAGGCCGGGCGCGGUGGUCCACGCCUGUAAUCCCAGCACUUUGAGAGGCCGAGGUGGGAGGAUCAUGAGGUCAA
This 328-nucleotide long non-coding RNA is filed under the name Homo sapiens (human). RNAcentral describes it as "HSALNT0254538". The record is from RNAcentral. Lineage: Eukaryota; Metazoa; Chordata; Mammalia; Primates; Hominidae.